GGAUGUGAGGGCGAUCUGGCUGCGACAUUCAUCAUCCCAAUGAUUGCCAGGGUUGAUUUGGCUGAUCUGGCUGGCUAGGUGGGUAUCUCCCUCUUCCCUCACAGAUCCCUGCGUCCCUCCCUAAGGUCGAAAGGACGACCUUCCCCCCAGAGGAGAGGACCCGUCUUUGUCUUUGGUCAAGGGUAUACGAGUAGCUGCGCUCCCCUGCUAGAACCUCCAAACAAGCUCUCAAGGUCCAAGACUCCAGACACAUCCAAAUGAGGUGCUGCACAUGGCAGUCUUUCUUU
Molecule: small nuclear RNA, 287 nt
Filed under: Myotis brandtii (Brandt's bat)
Lineage: Eukaryota; Metazoa; Chordata; Mammalia; Chiroptera; Vespertilionidae
Description: 7SK RNA
Rfam family: 7SK RNA
About the family: 7SK was discovered as an abundant small nuclear RNA in the mid-70s but a possible function has only recently been suggested. Two independent studies have found that 7SK RNA binds the CDK9/cyclin T complex (known as elongation factor P-TEFb). P-TEFb activates transcription by phosphorylating the C-terminal domain of RNA polymerase II.
Source: Rfam by way of RNAcentral